UACCCAUUUUUCGGCGACUGUUGUCUGUGUUUGCUGGGAUUUCGCUGCGAUUUGUUUUAUUUUUAUUUAUUUUUGAAGAGUCCAGUCGGGCCUUUUGUCAGACGAUUCCCUCUCCCUACCACUCCCUAUAUCGCCCGCCUGUCUCCCUCUAACCCUUCCUGUUGUUCUGCUUUGCUGGCCAGCUUAAUUAUUUAACUUGAUUCGAGUUUUUUAUGUAUGCAAUUCUCUGGCUGUCUGCGCCUUUUUUCCCUACUCGUUUUUGUUUUUUUUUUUUUGCACUUUUGAUUUUCUUGUUCAUUCUGCAUUUUUCACUUUUGUGGUGCAUUUAAAUUGAGUUUGAGCUUCACUUAUUUCAUGUAAUUAAGACGUUUCCGGUUCAUGACCUAAAUGUGCAAUUUAGGGCAACUGCAGGGGCUGUUCAAGGGCUGGUGGUGAUAUUUGCAUAAACAUUGGAGUUGGCUAGUCACUGUGUCUGGAUAUGACUCAAAAGGAAUGGCGAUAUUUUCAAAAUCUUGUGAAAUAUAUUCUGAAAAAUCAUUAAAAACGAAAACAACACGAAAAAUCUCCCAUAAUAUGUACAAGUUUUCUAUAUUCCAUUUCUUAUAAAAAGACUUUACGCAAUGAUCACAGUAACUAUCUCGUUUUCUUUCUAACAAACUGAUUCACGUUUAAAUUACUUUUUAGAUCAUCUUUAGCAAAGAAAAACCUUCAAUUUUGUGCCACCUUGAAAAACAGCUUGUAUUUACGUCUGAUAAUUUUCGUGCCCAUAGUGCUUCCCGUCAAGCCGUCAUCUAAGCCAAAGGUGAUUCAGUUCGGUGCCAGCUAUAAGAAAUUCAAAGCUUUCCCCCAACUGACUCAGACUUUGAAGACAUCAUGACAAAAGCUGGACGUGACAAUGUGGGAAUCUAGACUCAGAACUUGACCAUCGGAAGAAGCUUACUAAGCCGAUCUCAAAGAUUGAUUGCAUUCUAGUUAACUAUGUCUAUUACCUCAAAGCAGUUGUUUUUAAAUUUUAAGCCAUGUGUUUGUCAUGUAAGGGAAUACCAGCUUCUAGCUGGGCCAAGUUCUACUCUAUAUGGUGCACACUAAUUGGUACAUUAGGGCUUGGCUACGCCAUGUUUUUGAUAAUUGAUAUAAACAAGUAUGUGCUGGUUUUAAUGAACUUAGCCAGGCCUUUAGAAACUUCCUCAUAUGCAGUAAAUCAUGAGAGUUUGGUAUUGCUCGCAUGGGUUGAUGCUUCUUUUACAAUGCUCUUUUCCAUUAUGUAUAUUUUGGCUGGAAUUUGUAUGCUGCUGGGAAUGAGAAUAAGAUCAAAGAAAGUUUUCGUAGCUGGAAAAGUUCUAAGCUACUUUUUUGCAAUUUAUACUUGGAUAUUUCUGGUAGCUACAGUUGUACAUUUCAUCUGCGCAGUAAAAUUAUGCAAAUAUGUGGAGGAAUCAUGGCCCAAAAAUAGCUGAAUACUGAGUAUUCUUAUCCUAAAUUUAUUGAUCUUUUGUAACAUUUGGAUACUAAUGGCUGAUCUGAGCAAGCAAAGUUAUAAACAUAAAUAAUUUAUUAUUUUA
Drosophila eugracilis is the source of this 1562-nucleotide long non-coding RNA. RefSeq lists it as uncharacterized. The transcript has 3 exons. The record is from RefSeq and is a predicted model, not a curated record. Lineage: Eukaryota; Metazoa; Arthropoda; Insecta; Diptera; Drosophilidae.